AAGAACGGAAAGGCUGCUUGAGGACAGUGCUGAAGGACACCAAGGGCUCAGAGCGUGAUGCCUGGCUGCAGUGCCCCUCACACCUGGCCAGAAGCACCAUCUGGGGAAAUGAGAAGAGAUGGUUACCCUCAGUCAGCACAUGAGUGGCAGCCAAGAAGUCAAUCCUAGGCUGACCCAGAGGCAGUGUUCUGACUGGAAAAGCUGCCAGGCCCCCAGCCUACCAACUCCAGGGAUCUCCAAGGAUGGGCAGCCACAAGGUCAUUGGGGAGAGAGCAGCUCCUGCCCUUUUCAUUGCACUGCAUGGAUUCUACAGUGGGAGGAAAUGGCUGCCCCCAUGAUGCUACCUCAGGAGAGAGAAGAAAACACCCUUGUGAUUAAACAAUAGACCUCCA
This is a non-coding RNA of Ictidomys tridecemlineatus (thirteen-lined ground squirrel), 392 nucleotides long. The record is from RefSeq and is a predicted model, not a curated record. NCBI's taxonomy places the organism in Eukaryota, Metazoa, Chordata, Mammalia, Rodentia, Sciuridae.